This 253-nucleotide ribosomal RNA is filed under the name uncultured bacterium. Its description in RNAcentral is "partial 16S ribosomal RNA". It matches the Rfam family "Bacterial small subunit ribosomal RNA", at positions 524 to 776 of the family's 1533-position model. The record is from RNAcentral.
CACGUAGGGCGCAAGCGUUGUCCGGAAUUAUUGGGCGUAAAGGGUGCGUAGGCGGGUUUUUAAGUCAGGGGUGAAAUCCUGGAGCUCAACUCCAGAACUGCCUUUGAUACUGAAGAUCUUGAGUUCGGGAGAGGUGAGUGGAACUGCGAGUGUAGAGGUGAAAUUCGUAGAUAUUCGCAAGAACACCAGUGGCGAAGGCGGCUCACUGGCCCGAUACUGACGCUGAGGCACGAAAGCGUGGGGAGCAAACAGG